Molecule: ribosomal RNA, 432 nt
Filed under: uncultured bacterium
Lineage: Bacteria
Description: bacterial SSU rRNA
Rfam family: Bacterial small subunit ribosomal RNA
Source: RNAcentral
CCUACGGGGGGCAGCAGUAGGGAAUCUUCCGCAAUGGGCGAAAGCCUGACGGAGCAACGCCGCGUGAGUGAUGAAGGUCUUCGGAUCGUAAAACUCUGUUAUUAGGGAAGAACAAACGUGUAAGUAACUGUGCACGUCUUGACGGUACCUAAUCAGAAAGCCACGGCUAACUACGUGCCAGCAGCCGCGGUAAUACGUAGGUGGCAAGCGUUAUCCGGAAUUAUUGGGCGUAAAGCGCGCGUAGGCGGUUUUUUAAGUCUGAUGUGAAAGCCCACGGCUCAACCGUGGAGGGUCAUUGGAAACUGGAAAACUUGAGUGCAGAAGAGGAAAGUGGAAUUCCAUGUGUAGCGGUGAAAUGCGCAGAGAUAUGGAGGAACACCAGUGGCGAAGGCGACUUUCUGGUCUGUAACUGACGCUGAUGUGCGAAAGCGU